RNAcentral lists this ribosomal RNA (432 nucleotides) under uncultured bacterium. RNAcentral describes it as "partial 16S ribosomal RNA". It matches the Rfam family "Bacterial small subunit ribosomal RNA", at positions 29 to 507 of the family's 1533-position model. The record is from RNAcentral.
AGCGAACGCUGGCGGCAGGCUUAACACAUGCAAGUCGAGCGGGCCCUUCGGGGUCAGCGGCGGACGGGUGAGUAACGCGUGGGAACGUGCCUUCUGGUUCGGAAUAACUCAGGGAAACUUGAGCUAAUACCGGAUACGCCCUUUUGGGGAAAGGUUUACUGCCGGAAGAUCGGCCCGCGUCUGAUUAGCUAGUUGGUGGGUAACGGCCUACCAAGGCGACGAUCAGUAGCUAGUCUGAGAGGAUGAUCAGCCACACUGGGACUGAGACACGGCCCAGACUCCUACGGGAGGCAGCAGUGGGGAAUAUUGGACAAUGGGCGCAAGCCUGAUCCAGCCAUGCCGCGUGAGUGAUGAAGGCCUUAGGGUUGUAAAGCUCUUUUAUCCGGGACGAUAAUGACGGUACCGGAGGAAUAAGCCCCGGCUAACUUCGUG